Molecule: ribosomal RNA, 468 nt
Filed under: uncultured bacterium
Lineage: Bacteria
Description: partial 16S ribosomal RNA
Rfam family: Bacterial small subunit ribosomal RNA
Source: RNAcentral
GACGAACGCUGGCGGCGUGCUUAACACAUGCAAGUCGAACGGAAAGGCCCUGCUUUUGUGGUGUGCUCGAGUGGCGAACGGGUGAGUAACACGUGAGUAACCUGCCCUUGACUUUGGGAUAACUUCAGGAAACUGGGGCUAAUACCGGAUAGGAGCUCCUGCUGCAUGGUGGGGGUUGGAAAGUUUCGGCGGUUGGGGAUGGACUCGCGGCUUAUCAGCUUGUUGGUUGGGUAGUGGCAUACCAAGGCUUUGACGGGUAGCCGGCCUGAGAGGGUGACCGGGCACAUUGGGACUGAGAGACGGCCCAGGCUGCUACGGGAGGCAGCAGUGGGGAAUAUUGCACAAUGGGCGGAAGCCUGAUGAAGCAACGCCGCGUGCGGGAUGACGGCCUUCGGGUUGUAAACCGCUUUCGCCUGUGACGAAGCGUGAGUGACGGUAAUGGGUAAAGAAGCACCGGCUAACUACGUG